AGUGAACGCUGGCGGUAGGCCUAACACAUGCAAGUCGAACGGCAGCACAGUAAGAGCUUGCUCUUACGGGUGGCGAGUGGCGGACGGGUGAGGAAUACAUCGGAAUCUACUUUUUCGUGGGGAAUAACGUAGGGAAACUUACGCUAAUACCGCAUACGACCUACGGGUGAAAGCAGGGGAUCUUCGGACCUUGCGCGAUUGAAUGAGCCGAUGUCGGAUUAGCUAGUUGGCGGGGUAAAGGCCCACCAAGGCGACGAUCCGUAGCUGGUCUGAGAGGAUGAUCAGCCACACUGGAACUGAGACACGGUCCAGACUCCUACGGGAGGCAGCAGUGGGGAAUAUUGGACAAUGGGCGCAAGCCUGAUCCAGCCAUACCGCGUGGGUGAAGAAGGCCUUCGGGUUGUAAAGCCCUUUUGUUGGGAAAGAAAAGCAGCAGGUUAAUACCCCGCUGUUCCGACGGUACCCAAAGAAUAAGCACCGGCUAACUUCGUG
RNAcentral lists this ribosomal RNA (492 nucleotides) under uncultured bacterium. RNAcentral's name for it is "partial 16S ribosomal RNA". It matches the Rfam family "Bacterial small subunit ribosomal RNA", at positions 29 to 507 of the family's 1533-position model. The record is from RNAcentral.